ACAACAUUCGGACCGUCGGUCUACCGAGCAAUAUCACCCGCUCGGUGGAAGAUCUUCCCUCUGUCGU
Molecule: non-coding RNA, 67 nt
Organism: Bombyx mori (domestic silkworm)
Lineage: Eukaryota; Metazoa; Arthropoda; Insecta; Lepidoptera; Bombycidae
Source: Rfam